RNAcentral lists this ribosomal RNA (301 nucleotides) under uncultured bacterium. RNAcentral's name for it is "partial 16S ribosomal RNA". It matches the Rfam family "Bacterial small subunit ribosomal RNA", at positions 509 to 807 of the family's 1533-position model. The record is from RNAcentral.
CAGUAGCCGCGGGAAUACAGAGGGUGCGAGCGUUAAUCGGAUUUACUGGGCGUAAAGCGUGCGUAGGCGGCUUCUUAAGUCGGAUGUGAAAUCCCUGAGCUUAACUUAGGAAUUGCAUUCGAUACUGGUUAGCUAGAGUGUGGGAGAGGAUGGUAGAAUUCCAGGUGUAGCGGUGAAAUGCGUAGAGAUCUGGAGGAAUACCGAUGGCGAAGGCAGCCAUCUGGCCUAACACUGACGCUGAGGUACGAAAGCAUGGGGAGCAAACAGGAUUAGAUACCCGAGUAGUCCCUGUCUCUUAUAC